GGUUAGGGACAGUUUGACGUCUUUAUGUGCCUAAUCACAUAAGUUCGAGGUAAUCGCGAAAGUUUCGAGGGACAUUUUUUGUUGGAACCUAUAAAGAUAGCCAUAUAUCUUCCAAUUGAGUCCCGUAAGUGCUAUUUGAGCAUCCUUUCUGAAGACUGGACAGAAAUCAAGAUUGUUCCUGGGACUAUGUGACAGAUUGUGAAACCGAGUUCGCAAGGGGACUACUAAACUGAGAAUGAUGACCCUCCACUUUAAUGUUCGUUCGAAUGCGAUCUGCGCUAGACUGCGAUUCUGAAUAUAAUCUAAAGGACAUGAAAUUAACCAAGAAGACGUGCUGAUAUAUACCAACUACAUAACCCAAUUCACUACAAUCCAGUUCAAUCAUCUCCUAUCAGUCCCUUUGUUCACCACCAGAGUGAAAACAGACGAAGUACAGUCGACGGCCUGGGUGACAUCUCGCCGUAUCCGUGGUUAUCUGCUACCGCUGCGGAUGGAGGAUGAAGUGGAAAGGACUGUACAUAAUAUCUUAUAGGACGUGAGUUAUUAAGUAUUAUGCUAUUAGAGCAGUGUAAAUAGAGUGCAAUAAUUUCCAUCUUUCAAAAGUCUAUGCUUUCAAAAACAACAUCCUAGAAUCACCAGAAAACAGCACCAGCACACUGGAAAACAUUUAGACAAGUGAUGCCACGAACUGCACGUAGUUAAGACACAAACAGCUACUCAAUAAGGUUUCCCUUCCACCGAUGAGUCAUAAUAUCUACUUAUAAACUAUAAUAACUACUGACCAUCCGUUCUAAAGGUCAGGAUAUUAAAGAAAACUGCGAUUUUACAGUUAAACUAGCUAAUAUUUUUGUAUUAAAAAUUAAUGACUU
Molecule: long non-coding RNA, 869 nt
Organism: Helicoverpa zea (corn earworm)
Lineage: Eukaryota; Metazoa; Arthropoda; Insecta; Lepidoptera; Noctuidae
Exons: 4
Source: RefSeq, a predicted model, not a curated record